GUGUACGUAAUUUAAAAAAAAUAUCAAGUUGUGACCUUGAAAAUAGAUCAACCUCGCCCACC
RNAcentral lists this transfer RNA (62 nucleotides) under Crotalus pricei miquihuanus. RNAcentral's name for it is "tRNA-His". Lineage: Eukaryota; Metazoa; Chordata; Lepidosauria; Squamata; Viperidae. The record is from RNAcentral.